This 157-nucleotide transfer RNA is filed under the name Crepidodera aurata. RNAcentral describes it as "partial tRNA-Leu". Lineage: Eukaryota; Metazoa; Arthropoda; Insecta; Coleoptera; Chrysomelidae. The record is from RNAcentral.
UGUGAGCCAGGUUGGUUUCUAUCUUUAAAUUUAGUUUAUAUUUUAGUACGAAAGGACCAGAUAUAUAUAAAAUUUAUUAAAUUUUGAAUAAAAAUGUUAUUUUGGCAGAUUAGUGCAAUAGAUUUAGAAUCUUUAAAUGUAAUUAUAUUACAAAUAA